Molecule: small RNA, 237 nt
Filed under: Drosophila guanche
Lineage: Eukaryota; Metazoa; Arthropoda; Insecta; Diptera; Drosophilidae
Source: RNAcentral
GUUCUGCGGCUGAAUCUGAAUAUGCAUCUGCAUCUGCGGCGGUGCCUGUGCCUGUGCCUGAACAUGUUGCUCUGUUAGUUGUUGCUGCUGCUGCUGUUGCUGGUGAACCAUCGACUGUGCCUGCUGCUGUGCCUGCUGCUGUUGCUGCUGCUGCGACUGCUGCUGACUGAGCAGAAGCUGCUGUAAUUGUUGCUCCAGGGGCAAUGAUAGUUGCAUGGAUUGCGGCUGCAUAAAUUG